UUGAAAAUGUUGCUGUUACUGGAACUGUUGUUUUGUUCACGGGAGAGAGAAGCACUGUUUGCAGAGAUGCCUACAUUCCUUAGGUGGCCAUCCCAGUUCCUGAGGUACGGAAAGCUUUAUUAUAUGCCAUUCAGUAUGCAUCUAUUUAGCUAUGUGGAUUGCCGAUGUUUCAGCUAAAUAUGUAAUCGUCAAAAGUGAAAUAUUUGAAGUAGCAAAUAUGAGCUUUAAUUGCAGAAGUAUUUGAAGCUAUAAGCACAUAGAGUUACAUUUUUCACUUGAAUUGUUGAUUCUUCUAGUUCUACCAUAAUUUUAGGAAAAUAUGAUGUUUUGAUUGGGAGAUGGUAUCAGUUUUUUGUGAUGCCACAAUCAAAGGAAAGAGCUAUUGAUUGGAAAUUAAACUUCUGCUAUAGUACCUUUGCCGACUCCAAUGAACUUUAAGUACAUAAAGGUAUUUUAUUGAUGAUGUUAGUUUGCAAGUAUAUCCAGAACAAAUUCUUUCAUUUGUCACGAAGUCUUGAUCGUGGCCAACCAGAUUUUAUAUCUGCUCUUCAUUUGGAUACACCAAAAUUGAGGGAAUUCAUGGGGGCAUUAUUUAUUUAAAUCCCGAUGUGAGGAAAGAUAUGCAUCAGAUAUUAUUGAAUAUUAGCAUCAUACUUCACAAGAGGGUAAAAAAACAUGAUAACAUAUAUGUCUUUUUUCAUGAGAUUUGGGCAAUUGGCAAAAUUUUGAGGAGGUAAUUUUCUUUUAUUAGGACUAGGUAAUUCUACUGUGUAUCUCCCUCCAUUUCUCAAUUUUUUUUCUUCCUAUUCCUCAAUAAUUGGUAAAAUGCACAAAUAUGCUACAGUAUUAACUGGAUUAGAUCAAGAUCCAAUCUAGUCACCUCUUGGUCUUUAAUCUAAUGACCGAGAGACGAGUCAAAAUUGUAAUUGCAACCUGCCAAGAUAUACUCCCUGCAAGCCUGCAGUCUUUGCAAUAAUUUCGGGGAGAAUCUUUAGAUGAUUGAUAAAUCCAAUUGCUGCUUAAACUGUACUUUUGUUGAGAUCACAAAUUUAUGGCCUGCUUUCCUGUGCGGUGAAUUAUCUGCAAUGAGUAGGAACGUCACAACCUGAUCCGUGGAGAAGAUGGAGGUUUGUGCUUAAUGUUGGUUAAAGUAGUUGGCAGGAAAGUCUCUGGCAUUCUGAAAUAUAUUUCUUCCAUGCACAGAAGCCUGCUGACUUUGAAUUUGUGCUUGGCUUGGGAAGGUCCAUGAGAAUUAUGAUUUGGCAUACUUGGUUAGCGGCUCGGUGAGCUGGGUUUUGCUACAUCUUGCAUGAUUAACUUGAGUAUGGUUUUGCUUCACCAUAACCACAUUAUGGGAUUGUGUGGUUGGCUAAAGGCAAUGCUCAAGCUGGUGUUGAAAGGAUGGUGUAAUUGACAUUAAAGAGUAUUGCUGCUCUUGGUUGCAACUGUUCAUUUUGUGCGUGCCAAAAUGUGAUGGGAUCUUUAUUAUAAAUUGUUUUCAGGGUUCAAAAUAUGACCUGAUUUGGUAAUGCAGAUUCAGAAUUUGUUUUAUGAAUCCCAAAAUGUAAAUGCUGUAGUCCUGCAAUGCUAUAACCUUAUAUUUUAAAAAUGCCUUCAGCAGUACAUAUAUCCUCGAAGAAUGGUACAUCAGAGGACCCGUGAAGCAUGGUACAUCAGAGGAAUGGUUCCUUACCCCUUUAGAAGCACUUAUAUGUGCAAAUGAAGCAAAGCAAGGUCUAUGGUUUGGGAUGCUUGGGCUGUGGAGAAGGAUGCGUUGUCGCUCCAUGGUAAUCUGCACUGUAAACUAGCCCUCCCUCGUUGUCAUCAUUGUGCUCUCCGCCAGCAGAACCUUCUUUGGCUUCUGAUUUCUUCAUUCCAUGAGGUAUCUGUUACCAGUUGUAACUCUAAGAUUUUUCUUUUAUUUUUAUUCUUUGAUAGAACUCAGAAACACAUCAACUAACCUUGGCUUUCCGUUCUCCUGAUGGCUUUGUUACCAGAAAACUUAGCUCCUUCCCAAGCCGCCUGCUUAAAAUUUGGUUUACUAUGGUUGGAGAUAGAGAGAAGGGCGGACUAUCUGUGGAUGGCUGGUGGGAAUGAUAUAUGGCCAGCACAAGAGCACACAAAAAUGCGACACAGAGCAGUUGCUUCAUGUUGGUGGCUUGAAGAAGUCCCCUCUUGGUGGGGAGGAAGAAAUUGUUCAGG
RNAcentral lists this long non-coding RNA (2202 nucleotides) under Phoenix dactylifera (date palm). RNAcentral's name for it is "long non-coding RNA (PDAC_LNC003746)". The record is from RNAcentral. Lineage: Eukaryota; Viridiplantae; Streptophyta; Magnoliopsida; Arecales; Arecaceae.